RNAcentral lists this ribosomal RNA (633 nucleotides) under Triticum aestivum (bread wheat). Its description in RNAcentral is "partial small subunit ribosomal RNA". Lineage: Eukaryota; Viridiplantae; Streptophyta; Magnoliopsida; Poales; Poaceae. The record is from RNAcentral.
AUGAGUUCGUCUCGAAUGGAAGCCUCGAUGAAAUUCUUCAUAGCCGCGAUGCCUCUCAACUUGGAUGUGCGUCUGAAUAUCGUCGCAGAAUCCGCACAAGGUCUGGCUUAUCUGCAUUCACAAGCCCGUGCCAAAACAGUGCAUGGUGAUGUCAAAUCAGCAAACAUACUCUUGGAUGAUGACUUUGUGCCAAAGAUCUCAGACGUUAGCAUAACGAAGUUGAUUGAUCUGAGUGAUUGGCGAUACAGUAGCAUUCUCGUUGGCGGCGGGAGUUAUAUUAGGGAUCCAGUGUACGCGCAGACAGGCCUGCUGACCGAAAAAACUGACGUCUACUGUUUUGGAAUUGUGAUCUUGGAGGUCAUUAGCGGGAAGAAGCCCAAUCAUUAUGAUGAUAGCAGUCGCAGCCUGGCGAGGCGGUUCGUUGAAGUUCACAAAGAGGGGAAGAAAGCAACCCAUCGGUUUGACAUGAACAUGGAUAUUGCAGUGACAACAGGAGACCUGGAAAUUCUUGGCCAUCUUGCAGAGAUUGCUGUGGAAUGUAUUAACUUUGACGCGGAUCAAAGGCCCACGAUGACAGAUGUCGCGGAGCGCCUCCUCACGCUGAAUCGAUCUCGUAGGCCUCAAGCUGUUUAG